This 3495-nucleotide long non-coding RNA is filed under the name Capsicum annuum. RNAcentral's name for it is "long non-coding RNA (CANN_LNC004677)". Lineage: Eukaryota; Viridiplantae; Streptophyta; Magnoliopsida; Solanales; Solanaceae. The record is from RNAcentral.
UAGCAAGGUUACACAUGUACUGUUUUAAUUUUUUUUUUUAAUACACAGCAACAGACCCAGUGUAUUCCCACAAAGUGAGGUCUGGGGAGGGUAAAAUGUAUGCAGUCCAUACCGCUACCUCCGAAGAAGUAGAGAGGCUGUUUUCGAUAGACCCCCGGCUCAAGAAUGAGAAUAGUAUACCAAGGCCGUAAUGAAACAUGAGACAUGAUGGAUAACAUAACAGAGAUAAGAGAUAAGAAAUAAUAACAAUAAAUAUCAGAGAAAUCUGAAAUAAGGGAAAAUACGAGCAAUUCAAAAUAAAAAUAAGAAAACGGAUACUCACCUAGUAGUGACAUACUCUCACAAUACCUAAGACACCCACCACACCCAAACUCUUCUAACCCCUAGCCACAACCCAUACACUCACACUAGACUUCUACCCUAAUCCGCGACCUCCACACCUUCCUGUUUAGGGUCAUGUCCUCAGUAAGCUUAAGCUGCUCCAUGUCAAAAAUGAAAAAGAAAAAGGGAGACAUGUUCUGAAACAUGGUGUCAGUUGAUGGAAGUUUGUAAUGUUGAAUUAUAUUAUUAUAUUAUUAUUACUACUUUGAGGAUAUACUAUGCUGAAGUUGCAUAUAGCUUGUCUCUUCAUGUCUGUGUAUCCAAUUUUUAGAGGUCUCUGCAUGACUUGUUUUUGUUGCUUAACAUGUCUAUGUUUUCUUCAUCAUAUCCAUGUUUUCUUCAUUUUCCUGUACUAUCAUGUAUUAAUGAGACAAUGCCUACUAAAAAAGAUCAUGACGCCCUAGUAUACUUUCCGAAUUUUUGAAGCUUUGCGUCUAAAUAUGGGAGAACAUGAAGUUGCCGGUAUUUAAGUGGAGAAGGAUAGAGGGGCAGUCCCAUCCUCCGUUUGUUUAGAAGACUACGGUUGGUCCCAUAUGGAUUUCUUGGUCAUAAAAUAAAUUGUCUAUGAAACUUUAUUGUAACUCUUUUCUUGAAACUUUUGCUAUUUCUCAGGAUUUAUGAUUGCAGAAUGGCUUGGCUAUUUUGUUCCAUCGUAUGUAUCACUAAUAUCAUCCUUUGUUAUUACUCAUCAUAUUGCAUGAUUUCUGUGGUUGCAGAAGACAUUCUCAUUUGCAGUGAGGGAUUCGCUGAUCAAUGUUGGCCCUCUAAAAGAUUUCUCUUAUGGUAUGAGAAUUAAUGCUGACCUGACUGCUGCUGGAAUCGCUAAGCAAAGUAAUUAUGAACUGGUUAGUUCUCUUGUUGACAGCACACCUAACUUGAAUGCAGUUAAUGGUGGAGGUUUAACUUGUUUUUUCUUUGCUUGGAGAUAUGCACUUACAAAUGUUCUGCUAAACACUAAAAUAUCCUACCAUCUUGUUGUCUCUCUACCAUUUUGUAUUACUAGCGGAAAUCCGUCUUAAAUGUAAUGUUGAAUGAUCAGAAAACCAGCAUAAACUUAAGCAUUUGGUGGUAUUCAUGAAUUGCGUUUUCAUAGGGGAAAAUAUUGACUUCUUGUGGGUUUGAACAAAAUUUUGAAAAAUCUCUGUUUAUAAGCUAGGAUUACUUUUUGUUUAAAAGUAAUAAUUUCAUUGAUGGCAAGAGUGUUAGAUCUUGAUGGCAUGAUUGACCAUCUCUAUUCAUUGUAGAACUUAUAAUGCUCGUAAACUUUCUGAUGUGCUGUUAACCAGCACUUUCCUGGCAUACAUUAAUAAGCUUUUAUCUUACCUUUUAAUUUAAGAGAUUGGGAGAAAACCUAGAUAUACAUUAGUUAGUCAAGUAGUAGUUACAAGAUUGUAGGAGGUUUUACAUUAGUAAGUUGUGUAUAAGAAGUGCUAGAACCUUACAAAACAUGAUUCUCCACAAAAUACCCAAUCAUCAGUACUCCCUGGAAUCAUGUGGAUGCUCAAAAAUUGACUCAAACCAGGAAAUAUGACCUGAUAUGUACAAGUUUAUUCUCAACCUUCUCAAGAGAUCUCUUGUUUCUCUCGUCACAAAGGAUCCAAAUCCGUGCCAAAGGAACGUUCUCACAUGCUUUCUUUCUGUUUCUCCUACUUUUCCAUUUGAUGAUCCUGCUGGUCAGGAUAUCGUUCACUAUCCCCAGCGUAAGGUUUGAAACUGUUUUGAAACUGUUCACCAUUAGUGGUUUGCUGCUUGAUGAUGGAUCAGUAGUCAUGUUAUCUCCCGACUUUCUUACACAUGUUGGUCCAAGUAUGUGCAGACUUUGCCUCUUCUUGAGAUAACCUAUUGCGUGGAUAUAUGCUAACUUCCAGCCACAUGAAGAAACACAUGUCUGUUGGAGCUUUGGUUAUCCAAGUUGUGAUAUGCGGGAGCAAUUCCCCUUCUUUCACAAGGAGCCUCAAAUAAAAAGAUAUCAUGGAAAAAACUCCUCUGAUAUGCCUGUUCCACCUCUAAGUGCACUUUAGGGAGGAUUUAUAUCUAUGUCAUCCCUCAAUUAAUAAACAACUCUACCCUGAAUAUAUAUUUGAUAAGUUUUGGUAAUGAUAUUUGGAAGAAAAUUAUGAUGAGAUUAAUGUUGUUCAUUCCUCUAGAGCUCUUGGAUAACAACUGAUCGAUCCUUGUUUAUUUUUGAUCAAUUAAGUGAACAACUGAUACUGGGUUUGUUGUUGUUGUUGUUGUUGAAGUGAACAACUGAUCCUUGGUUGCUGUUAUCUUUCUUCACACAGUAGACUUACACAUUUGCUUUCAUGUUGUGACAUGUAAAAGAGGAUUUUAAGAAUUAUAUGUAAAAUGUUUCUGUCUGAUUCAAAUAGAACAACAGAAUCAAGUUGUGCUCACAAUGCUCACAGUUGUGCUAAGCGCGCAGAACAUGAUGUGUGGAUCGGACGCACUUCACAGGUUUAGAUCUUGCCGCAACCAAAAGCCUUGUAUCUAAGUGGAGAAAGGUAGAGGGAUGGACCCAUUAUCCACCGAGUUCUGAUCCUUGGGCCCCUGUCCUCAGGGAUUUUCUCAGUUAUAAAAGAAUGAGAAAUAGAAAUUGAAAUUAUCUUGUGGUAAUAGAUUUUAGGUUUUGGAACUCAUAACAGUUGAUAAUUGUUUUUUUUUUGUUGAAGUCCUUUUGCUGGAGUUCGUGGAACAAUCAAAUGUCCAGAAUACAACAACAACAACAACAACAAACCCAGUGUAUUCCCACCUAGUGGGGUCUGGGGGGAGUAAGAUGUACGUAGUCCAUACUUCUACCUCUGAUGAAGUAGAAAGGCUGUUUCCGAAAGACCCCCGGCUCAAGGCACGAGAUACCACACAAACACAUAGUAAAGCAGAUUAGCAGAUAGAAGCAGAUUACAUAACAUAAAUACGGCACCCAUAAGUAAUAUAAAACAGAGGAAAGCAGUGGAAAGCACACAGAUUUGUAAUAAAACAUGGAACACGGAACACGGAAUCAUAACAGGAAUAAAACCCCCACCAAGUAAUCCCUACACUAGCGACCCAAACUGGCCCUAAUCCUCUGCCGUAAUUCGCGUCUUCCAUACCUUCCUAUCUAGGGUCAUGUCCUCGGUG